GAUGAACGCUGGCGGCGUGCCUAAUACAUGCAAGUCGAGCGAACAGACGAGGAGCUUGCUCCUCUGACGUUAGCGGCGGACGGGUGAGUAACACGUGGAUAACCUACCUAUAAGACUGGGAUAACUUCGGGAAACCGGAGCUAAUACCGGAUAAUAUAUUGAACCGCAUGGUUCAAUAGUGAAAGACGGUUUUGCUGUCACUUAUAGAUGGAUCCGCGCCGCAUUAGCUAGUUGGUAAGGUAACGGCUUACCAAGGCGACGAUGCGUAGCCGACCUGAGAGGGUGAUCGGCCACACUGGAACUGAGACACGGUCCAGACUCCUACGGGAGGCAGCAGUAGGGAACCUUCCGCAAAGGGCGAAAGCCUGACGGAGCAACGCCGCGUGAGUGAUGAAGGUCUUCGGAUCGUAAAACUCUGUUAUUAGGGAAGAACAAAUGUGUAAGUAACUAUGCACGUCUUGACGGUACCUAAUCAGAAAGCCACGGCUAACUACGUG
RNAcentral lists this ribosomal RNA (497 nucleotides) under uncultured bacterium. RNAcentral describes it as "partial 16S ribosomal RNA". It matches the Rfam family "Bacterial small subunit ribosomal RNA", at positions 28 to 507 of the family's 1533-position model. The record is from RNAcentral.